This 515-nucleotide ribosomal RNA is filed under the name uncultured bacterium. Its description in RNAcentral is "partial 16S ribosomal RNA". It matches the Rfam family "Bacterial small subunit ribosomal RNA", at positions 28 to 523 of the family's 1533-position model. The record is from RNAcentral.
GAUGAACGCUGGCGGCGUGCCUAAUACAUGCAAGUCGAGCGAAUGGAUUAAGAGCUUGCUCUUAUGAAGUUAGCGGCGGACGGGUGAGUAACACGUGGGUAACCUGCCCAUAAGACUGGGAUAACUCCGGGAAACCGGGGCUAAUACCGGAUAGCAUUUUGAACCGCAUGGUUCGAAAUUGAAAGGCGGCUUCGGCUGUCACUUAUGGAUGGACCCGGGUCGCAUUAGCUAGUUGGUGAGGUAACGGCUCACCAAGGCCACGAUGCGUAGCCGCCCUGAGAGGGGAAUAGGACACACUGGGACAGAGACACGGCCCAGACUCCUACGGGAGGCAGCAGUAGGGAAUCUUCGGCAAUGGACGAAAGUCUGACGGAGCAACGCCGCGUGAGUGAUGAAGGCUUUCGGGUCGUAAAACUCUGUUGUUAGGGAAGAACAAGUGCUAGUUGAAUAAGCUGGCACCUUGACGGUACCUAACCAGAAAGCCACGGCUAACUACGUGCCAGCAGCCGCCGUAA